AUUGAACGCUGGCGGCAGGCCUAACACAUGCAAGUCGAGCGGAUGAAGGGAGCUUGCUCCUGGAUUCAGCGGCGGACGGGUGAGUAAUGCCUAGGAAUCUGCCUGGUAGUGGGGGAUAACGUCCGGAAACGGGCGCUAAUACCGCAUACGUCCUGAGGGAGAAAGUGGGGGAUCUUCGGACCUCACGCUAUCAGAUGAGCCUAGGUCGGAUUAGCUAGUUGGUGGGGUAAAGGCCUACCAAGGCGACGAUCCGUAACUGGUCUGCGAGGAGGAUCAGUCACCCGGGAGGUGGGACAGGGACAAGAGUACUGAGGGAGGCAGCAGUGGGGAAUAGGGGGCAAUGGGCGGGAGCAUGGUCCAACGAGGCGGAGUGUGAGGAAAAGGUGUUCGGAGUGGGAAGAAGGUUAAGGUGGUAGAAAGGGCAGUAAGUUGAUACGAAGCGGGAUUGACGGUACCAGCAGAAGAAGCACCGGCUAACUACGUG
RNAcentral lists this ribosomal RNA (484 nucleotides) under uncultured bacterium. Its description in RNAcentral is "partial 16S ribosomal RNA". It matches the Rfam family "Bacterial small subunit ribosomal RNA", at positions 29 to 507 of the family's 1533-position model. The record is from RNAcentral.